UACGGAGGGGGCAAGCGUUGUUCGGAAUUACUGGGCGUAAAGCGCACGUAGGCGGCUUGUUAAGUCGGGGGUGAAAUCCUGGGGCUCAACCUCAGAAUUGCCUCCGAUACUGGCAGUCUCGAGUGCGGGAGAGGUGAGUGGAAUUCCCAGUGUAGAGGUGAAAUUCGUAGAUAUUGGGAAGAACACCAGUGGCGAAGGCGGCUCACUGGCCCGUAACUGACGCUGAGGUGCGAAAGCGUGGGGAGCAAACAGG
Molecule: ribosomal RNA, 253 nt
Filed under: uncultured bacterium
Lineage: Bacteria
Description: partial 16S ribosomal RNA
Rfam family: Bacterial small subunit ribosomal RNA
Source: RNAcentral